CAAGUGUCUUUAUUUUGUGGAUGUAGCUGARGAAAUUUGUUGGGUCUUUAGUGAAAAAACCCUGCUAUAUCCCAGCUACCAGUGUGGAUAGAAGGAAUAUAAGCCUURCAGAAGGAAAACUGCUGCUUGUAGCCUAGAUAUAUCCUAUGACUACUGAUCCUCGUUGGCUGAAUUGUCUUCUGGGGAGUUGGCCUGUUGUGAAACAUAUGGCUCUUGUAGGCUCUUGUAUGCAACAUAAACUUACUAGGAGAGAAACUUUCAUUAAGGGCUAAAUAAACAAGAUCUGCACAGACUGAAAGUUCUCACUUCCUCUGCACUUGGGGCACGGCACAACUUGUC
This is a long non-coding RNA of Nothoprocta perdicaria, 339 nucleotides long. RefSeq lists it as uncharacterized. The record is from RefSeq and is a predicted model, not a curated record. The transcript is spliced from 3 exons. Lineage: Eukaryota; Metazoa; Chordata; Aves; Tinamiformes; Tinamidae.